GAUGAAGAACGUAGUGAAAUGCGAUAAGUAAUGUGAAUUGCAGAAUUCAGUGAAUCAUCGAAUCUUUGAACGCACAUUGCGCCCGUCAGUAUUCUGGCGGGCAUGCCUGUUCGAGCGUCAUUACGCCCCUCAAGUCCCCUGUGGACUUGGUGUUGGGGAUCGGCGAGGCUGGUUUUCCAGCGCAGCCGUCCCUUAAAUUAAUUGGCGGUCUCGCCGUGGCCCUCCUCUGCGCAGUAGUAAAACACUCGCAACAGGAGCCCGGCGCGGUCCACUGCCGUAAAACCCCCCAACUUUUUAUAGUUGACCUCGAAUCAGGUAGGACUACCCGCUGAACUUAAGCAUAUCAAUAAGCGGAGGA
Molecule: unclassified non-coding RNA, 358 nt
Filed under: soil metagenome
Description: partial contains 5.8S ribosomal RNA, internal transcribed spacer 2, and large subunit ribosomal RNA
Rfam family: 5.8S ribosomal RNA (bases 1-120)
Source: RNAcentral